Molecule: ribosomal RNA, 253 nt
Filed under: uncultured bacterium
Lineage: Bacteria
Description: partial 16S ribosomal RNA
Rfam family: Bacterial small subunit ribosomal RNA
Source: RNAcentral
UACGAAGGACCCGAGCGUUAUCCGGAUUUAUUGGGUUUAAAGGGUGCGUAGGCGGAUUUACAAGUCCGUGGUGAAAUCCUGCAGCUUAACUGCAGAACUGCCGUGGAUACUAUCUAUCUUGAAUGUCGUGGAGGUUAGCGGAAUAUGUCAUGUAGCGGUGAAAUGCUUAGAGAUGACAUAGAACACCCAUUGCGAAGGCAGCUAACUACGCGAUAAUUGACGCUGAUGCACGAAAGCGUGGGGAUCAAACAGG